AGUGAACGCUGGCGGUAGGCCUAACACAUGCAAGUCGAACGGCAGCACAGUAAGAGCUUGCUCUUACGGGUGGCGAGUGGCGGACGGGUGAGGAAUACAUCGGAAUCUACUUUUUCGUGGGGGAUAACGUAGGGAAACUUACGCUAAUACCGCAUACGACCUACGGGUGAAAGCAGGGGAUCUUCGGACCUUGCGCGAUUGAAUGAGCCGAUGUCGGAUUAGCUAGUUGGCGGGGUAAAGGCCCACCAAGGCGACGAUCCGUAGCUGGUCUGAGAGGAUGAUCAGCCACUCUGGAGCUGAGACACGGUCCAGACUCGUACGGGAGGCAGCAGUGGGGAAUAUUGGACAAUGGGCGCAAGCCUGUUCCAGCCAUACCGCGUGGGUGAAGAAGGCCUACGGGUUGUAAAGCCUUUUUGUUGGGAAAGAAAAGCAGCAGGUUAAGACCCCGCUGUUCUGACGGUACCCAAAGAAUAAGCACCGGCUACCUUCGG
RNAcentral lists this ribosomal RNA (491 nucleotides) under uncultured bacterium. Its description in RNAcentral is "partial 16S ribosomal RNA". It matches the Rfam family "Bacterial small subunit ribosomal RNA", at positions 29 to 506 of the family's 1533-position model. The record is from RNAcentral.